RNAcentral lists this ribosomal RNA (765 nucleotides) under uncultured bacterium. Its description in RNAcentral is "bacterial SSU rRNA". It matches the Rfam family "Bacterial small subunit ribosomal RNA", at positions 51 to 806 of the family's 1533-position model. The record is from RNAcentral.
ACACAUGCAAGUCGAGGGGCAGCAUGAACUUAGCUUGCUAAGUUUGAUGGCGACCGGCGCACGGGUGAGUAACACGUAUCCAACCUGCCGAUGACUCGGGGAUAGCCUUUCGAAAGAAAGAUUAAUACCCGAUGGCAUAGUUCUUCCGCAUGGUAGAACUAUUAAAGAAUUUCGGUCAUCGAUGGGGAUGCGUUCCAUUAGGUUGUUGGCGGGGUAACGGCCCACCAAGCCUUCGAUGGAUAGGGGUUCUGAGAGGAAGGUCCCCCACAUUGGAACUGAGACACGGUCCAAACUCCUACGGGAGGCAGCAGUGAGGAAUAUUGGUCAAUGGACGAGAGUCUGAACCAGCCAAGUAGCGUGAAGGAUGACUGCCCUAUGGGUUGUAAACUUCUUUUAUACGGGAAUAAAGUGAGGCACGUGUGCCUUUUUGUAUGUACCGUAUGAAUAAGGAUCGGCUAACUCCGUGCCAGCAGCCGCGGUAAUACGGAGGAUCCGAGCGUUAUCCGGAUUUAUUGGGUUUAAAGGGAGCGUAGGCGGACGCUUAAGUCAGUUGUGAAAGUUUGCGGCUCAACCGUAAAAUUGCAGUUGAUACUGGGUGUCUUGAGUACAGUAGAGGCAGGCGGAAUUCGUGGUGUAGCGGUGAAAUGCUUAGAUAUCACGAAGAACUCCGAUUGCGAAGGCAGCCUGCUGGACUGUAACUGACGCUGAUGCUCGAAAGUGUGGGUAUCAAACAGGAUUAGAUACCCUGGUAGUCCACACAGUAAA